Molecule: long non-coding RNA, 331 nt
Organism: Triticum dicoccoides
Lineage: Eukaryota; Viridiplantae; Streptophyta; Magnoliopsida; Poales; Poaceae
Exons: 3
Source: RefSeq, a predicted model, not a curated record
GAAAACACAUCUCCAACGCGCGAGACUGCCCAAAAACACCCAACACACUCACAAGGCAAUGAUUAUGGUGGUGAAGAGGGCGUCAUCUUGGAGGAAGACUCAGAAGACGAGGAAGGCUACAUGUUCGCUGGGAAUGAGGAUGACACCGAUGACGAUAUUGAAAUGGACGAGUCUGACAACGAGUCUGCCUCAGUUGCAAGCAUUCCAGAUCCCUAUGACAUGGUGUAUAGCAAGGUCCCAACAGACACACACAACUUGAAGCCAGUGGAAGACUGCAAGCACGCUAUGCAAAGAAGUUUGAGCGUGAGACCAUGGGGUUUUGCUGCCGUAA